RNAcentral lists this microRNA precursor (93 nucleotides) under Prunus dulcis (almond). RNAcentral's name for it is "sRNA ncRNA". The record is from RNAcentral. Lineage: Eukaryota; Viridiplantae; Streptophyta; Magnoliopsida; Rosales; Rosaceae.
ACACUUGACACGUGUCCAUAUGCAUAACCAUAGUUCCAUAAAUAUAAAGUAAAAAGUUAACCAUGGUUAUGCCUAUGGACACGUGUCAAGUAU